GAAAUUUGUCAAAAACUAAAGCCAAACAUCGUGUUCAAUCUAUGGAUGUGAAAUCGGAGGAGAUUGAUAGUAAUGAAUCCGCCACGUCUGAGCCACUACUGGGAGAACCUUUUGUCACUGAUAACCUUAGCAGUGAACAACCACCAUCUGUAUUCAAACGGCUUUAUUCUUACGCUGCAGUAUACGAUGCCAGGCGUAAGCAGGUUAUUGAAAGUCAGGAACGUGAAUUGAAAGCAUUGGCGAACCAGUUUCGUGCCAAGGCAUAUACACCGCAUAACAAACCAGUCAAUCCGUGCAAAACAUAUAACUUCACAGUUCCCGUCACGCCGAAAGUGCUAAAACAUACAACUACGAAGAAAAACAAUGCAAUGGAGAAAAAACACACGGAUAGCGAAAACAACUCUUCGGGAUGACUUUUGUCCUCCCUAAGAGCCAUUCUUCCUAUUCGUUAGCUAUGGUUUAGAAUAAAAUUUUGUAAUUAAGAUGAUUUUGUGAAUGUAAUUUCACUUGAUCGUUACGGUAAGCGCGAGCGGGAGCGUGAACUUUUCCUCGCUGCAGAAGGCUUAGAGUUUCGGAUGGUCGACGGAGUAUUCGCCACCGCCGUCAUCGCGGUAACGGCUGCCCGAAGGGUGCUGAACACGGAUCUGGCUUCGGACCACUACUAAGCAAUCAUCUACUCUGUAUCUCACGCUGAAGCUGCUCCGCGCGCAUCGUUGCGGUCGAGCGAUAGUCCAGCGCCACAAACAACAGAUAAGCCGGAUGUGCCGAUGGAAAGUAACUUCGCUCGACCCUCGACUUCACCAGCGUCGAAUCGUCGGUGACCGCCGAUGAGAACUACGGUAAACUGUAAACUAAACCAGUUCGCAUAUAAAUGCUCGUUUGAAAAACGAUACUAAUUCUCAUGUCGCUGCGUCUUGCCAAAUAAUUGUCGGCCGGCAAAAAAUGAAACUAUACUUACAUUAGCCAUC
Anopheles bellator is the source of this 968-nucleotide long non-coding RNA. RefSeq lists it as uncharacterized. NCBI's taxonomy places the organism in Eukaryota, Metazoa, Arthropoda, Insecta, Diptera, Culicidae. The record is from RefSeq and is a predicted model, not a curated record. The transcript is spliced from 3 exons.